UCAGGACUAAGAAAUGCAUACCUAGGUUCCUUAGGCAAGGGUUUCAGUUCUAUGUUUUGUAUGAUCUCUGCAGUUGGUGGUGUGUUCGGAUCUCCUAUUGAUGAAUCAUUGGGUGGAGGGUAUAGUUCUAUAUGCUUAGGAUCUUCCCCUUCAUCAUUAUAAACAGUUGGAAUGAACUUGUUGAAUGGGUCGUUAUAGAUUUC
This 203-nucleotide long non-coding RNA is filed under the name Jatropha curcas. RNAcentral's name for it is "long non-coding RNA (JCUR_LNC000041)". Lineage: Eukaryota; Viridiplantae; Streptophyta; Magnoliopsida; Malpighiales; Euphorbiaceae. The record is from RNAcentral.